This 164-nucleotide ribosomal RNA is filed under the name Elymus repens. RNAcentral's name for it is "5.8S ribosomal RNA". It matches the Rfam family "5.8S ribosomal RNA". Rfam says of the family: 5.8S ribosomal RNA (5.8S rRNA) is a component of the large subunit of the eukaryotic ribosome. It is transcribed by RNA polymerase I as part of the 45S precursor that also contains 18S and 28S rRNA. Lineage: Eukaryota; Viridiplantae; Streptophyta; Magnoliopsida; Poales; Poaceae. The record is from RNAcentral.
CACACGACUCUCGGCAACGGAUAUCUCGGCUCUCGCAUCGAUGAAGAACGUAGCGAAAUGCGAUACCUGGUGUGAAUUGCAGAAUCCCGCGAACCAUCGAGUCUUUGAAUGCAAGUUGCGCCCGAGGCCACUCGGCCGAGGGCACGCCUGCCUGGGCGUCACGC